UUAACAUUACAGUGUAUGGCUUGACAAUUAUGAGGAGAUGGAAUCAAUAUGCAGCAAAAGAGGACAAAAACUAAUUGAAGUUUUUGGGCUAGAUGUCAAAUGUUUAUACAUACAGAUUACCAAGUAAUUGUACGUUACAUUUUGAAGAUACGUAUAUAUGGAGUAUUAGUUAAAACUGUAACAAGCAGGGGUGCCUGGGUGGCUCAGUUGAUUGAGCGUCCGACUUCGCUCAGGUCAUGAUAUCGCAGCUCACAAGUUCGGGCACUGCAUCGGGCUCUAUGCGGACAGCUUAGAGCCGGGAGCCUGCUUCAGAUUCUGUGUCUCCCUCUCUCUGUCCCCCCCACUUGUGUUCUCUCUCUCUCUC
Panthera uncia (snow leopard) is the source of this 364-nucleotide long non-coding RNA. RefSeq lists it as uncharacterized. The transcript has 2 exons. The record is from RefSeq and is a predicted model, not a curated record. Lineage: Eukaryota; Metazoa; Chordata; Mammalia; Carnivora; Felidae.